UUCCGUAAGGGUACCUGCGGAAGGAUCAUUACAGAGUUCAUGCCCGAAAGGGUAGACCUCCCACCCUUGUGUAUUAUUACUUUGUUGCUUUGGCGAGCUGCUCUUCGGGGCCUUGUAUGCUCGCCAGAGAAUAUCAAAACUCUCUUUUAUUAAUGUCGUCUGAGUACUAUAUAAUAGUUAAAACUUUCAACAACGGAUCUCUUGGUUCUGGCAUCGAUGAAGAACGCAGCGAAAUGCGAUAAGUAAUGUGAAUUGCAGAAUUCAGUGAAUCAUCGAAUCUUUGAACGCACAUUGCGCCCCUUGGUAUUCCGGGGGGCAUGCCUGUUCGAGCGUCAUUUCAACCCUCAAGCUCAGCUUGGUAUUGAGUCCAUGUCAGUAAUGGCAGGCUCUAAAAUCAGUGGCGGCGCCGCUGGGUCCUGAACGUAGUAAUAUCUCUCGUUACAGGUUCUCGGUGUGCUUCUGCCAAAACCCAAAUUUUCUAUGGUUGACCUCGGAUCAGGUAGGGAUACCCGCUGAACUUAAGCAUAUCAAUAGCCCGGAGGAA
This 544-nucleotide ribosomal RNA is filed under the name Sclerotinia sclerotiorum. RNAcentral's name for it is "eukaryotic LSU rRNA". The stretch from base 182 to 335 matches the Rfam family "5.8S ribosomal RNA". The record is from RNAcentral. Lineage: Eukaryota; Fungi; Ascomycota; Leotiomycetes; Helotiales; Sclerotiniaceae.